This is a long non-coding RNA of Sorex araneus (European shrew), 751 nucleotides long. RefSeq lists it as uncharacterized. The record is from RefSeq and is a predicted model, not a curated record. The transcript has 2 exons. Lineage: Eukaryota; Metazoa; Chordata; Mammalia; Eulipotyphla; Soricidae.
UGAAAGUAAAGUGAAAUUUAUCAGUUACACAGGCGGGGUAGGGGGCUAGGGAGGUGGGGGGAGGGGGAGGUAUACUGUGAUUCUUGGUGGUGGAAUAUGUGCACUGGUGAAGGGAUGGGUGUUCGAGCAUUGUAUGACUGAGACUUAAACCUGAAAGCUUUGUAACUUUCCACAUGGUGAUUCAAUAAAAGAAUAAAUUAAUAAAAAAAGAAUAAAGGGGAGGCACCGGCCCCUCCUGCUGCUGCUGAGAUGUGACCCCCGGCCCCUCCGCAGCUGCACGAGUGUGAAUCCAGACCCAGCUGAACCAAAUUCAACAUGGGCAGCUACUUGCAGAAUGUCUCCAGCCUGAGAACCAAGCCGCAAUCCCAUGCCCGCCCAGGAGGGGAAAGGGGACUUGGAAUAGACAGAAAUAAAAACAUCUGGAGAAUCCACUUCAGGAUAGCUUACUCAUUGAUUGUGUUAAAAGCUCUUCUCAUAGUCAUAUCCAAAGGGCUGCUUGAUCUUCCAUACAACAUUGCAGCUGUCUUCCUUGUGUCGGUGCCCAACAAAUAGGAAAAUAAAUCUGACAAUAUCUCGGACCUAAUUCUGGAAACAGACACAGCAUCAUAUCUGACUUUAUUAGAUAUGUCAAAGAAAUUAUUGAACUCGCUCAGAUCUAAGACUCAUGUGAAAGAGGGGCAUGUUAGAGAAUUGCACUUGAUGCACAUUAAGUGUGUGAUUAUUUUUUAUCAGUAAAAGAAAUAUUAAAGGA